AACAUGGUAAGUAUACCGGAAGGUGUGCUUGGAAACGAAGUGUAGCUUAAACAAAGCAUUUCGCUUACAC
This 70-nucleotide transfer RNA is filed under the name Cochranella sp. KU 202796. RNAcentral's name for it is "tRNA-Val". The record is from RNAcentral. Lineage: Eukaryota; Metazoa; Chordata; Amphibia; Anura; Centrolenidae.